RNAcentral lists this transfer RNA (71 nucleotides) under Camelus bactrianus (Bactrian camel). It matches the Rfam family "tRNA". From Rfam's summary of the family: Transfer RNA (tRNA) molecules are approximately 80 nucleotides in length. Their secondary structure includes four short double-helical elements and three loops (D, anti-codon, and T loops). RNAcentral also lists the same sequence under 1 other name. Lineage: Eukaryota; Metazoa; Chordata; Mammalia; Artiodactyla; Camelidae. The record is from Rfam by way of RNAcentral.
GGGGGAUAGCUCAAUGGUAGAGCGUGUGCUUAGCAUACACGGGGUCCAGGGUUCAAUCCCCAGUACCUCCA